RNAcentral lists this ribosomal RNA (633 nucleotides) under uncultured organism. RNAcentral's name for it is "bacterial SSU rRNA". It matches the Rfam family "Bacterial small subunit ribosomal RNA", at positions 13 to 638 of the family's 1533-position model. The record is from RNAcentral.
UUGAUCCUGGCUCAGGAUGAACGCUAGCGGCAGGCCUAACACAUGCAAGUCGAGGGGUAACAGUCCAGAGCGAUCUGGAGCUGACGACCGGCGCACGGGUGAGUAACGCGUAUGCAACUUUCCUCUAACAGAGAGAUAGCCCGAAGAAAUUCGGAUUAAUAUCUCAUAACAUCAUGAAAUCGCAUGGUUUUAUGAUUAAAGCUCCGGCGGUUAGAGAUGGGCAUGCGUGACAUUAGUUAGUUGGUGAGGUAACGGCUCACCAAGGCAACGAUGUCUAGGGGUUCUGAGAGGAUGAUCCCCCACACUGGUACUGAGACACGGACCAGACUCCUACGGGAGGCAGCAGUGAGGAAUAUUGGGCAAUGGACGCAAGUCUGACCCAGCCAUGCCGCGUGCAGGAUGACGGCCCUACGGGUUGUAAACUGCUUUUGUACGAGAAGAAUUCUCUUGACGUGUCAGGGGUUGACGGUAUCGUACGAAUAAGCAUCGGCUAACUCCGUGCCAGCAGACGAGGUAAUACGGAGGAUGCAAGCGUUAUCCGGAUUUAUUGGGUUUAAAGGGUGCGUAAGCGGGAUAUUAAGUCAGUGGUGAAAUCCUGCAGACUUAACUGUAGAACUGCCAUUGAUACUGAUA